Molecule: ribosomal RNA, 126 nt
Filed under: Streptomyces sp. PsTaAH-130
Lineage: Bacteria; Bacillati; Actinomycetota; Actinomycetes; Kitasatosporales; Streptomycetaceae
Description: partial 23S ribosomal RNA
Rfam family: Bacterial large subunit ribosomal RNA
Source: RNAcentral
CGAGAUGAGGACUCCCACCCACUUGAUGGGGUAAGGCUCCCAGUAGACGACUGGGUUGAUAGGCCGGAUCUGGAAGCCAGGUAACUGGUGGAGGUGACCGGUACUAAUAGGCCGAGGGCUUGUCCU